GUUGUCAGGGAUUCAGUGGUUAAAGCUUUCUUGCUGAUCUUGCUGGCUGUAGCUUGCCGCCACACUGGCUGUUGGGGAACAAACCUGGCCAAUCCGAUGAUUCUGAAGAUCAUGGGACUUUGGGGAGACACAAGAUGGCUGUGGCUGUUGCAGUUGUUCUGUCAAGAAUAAUUAAAGCUGCUGCGGUAAAUGAAUGAAGAAACUUCGAGUACCACAAGCUGAGAACUACCUGGUGAUGAAAAAGCUCCAUCUUGAAUGACAGUGAGGAGGAGACAGCUGAACGUAGGCCCUACUCAAGUCCGCUUCUGAAACAGGUUGGGAGGAUCUACCGCAUUCCAUUGCAUCUCAAAAUAAGUUACGGAAGAACUACCAUGAUCCUUUUACAAUGAACUUAGCAGGGGAGCUCGUGCCAUACACAGCCUCUGCCACAAGAAAUGCUGACACAUCCCUGGGAUAACAAAGGGACUGUGUAGCAAUCUGAAGGUAAGUUGCCUUUUUCAUUACGAAUCAUCAUUGUACAGUUAAACCUCAUUAAUUGUCGGUCGGUAUUAUUCUGUUUACGCAGAAAAGAGAUUCUUUCUAAUUUUUACUCUCAAUGUAAAAAUUCACAUUAAUUUUUUAUUUUCGUCACAUUUGUGUCCUCAUACCAGGAUGCUGAGGAGAAUAUUUGCAGCUAAGAGAAAUAAAUUACUAGGAGGCUGGAGAAAGUUGCAUAAUCAGGUGCUUCAUAAGUUGCACCCCUCGCCAAAUAUAAUUAGAAUGGUCAAGUCAAGGAGAGUGAAAUGGACAGAGCAUGUAGCCUGCAUGGGUAGAAGAGGAAUGUAUACAGAGUUUAGUAGGCAAACCAGAAGGAAUGAAACCACUAGGAAGACUAGACGUAGGUGGGAGGAUAAUAUUAAAAUGGAUCUUAGAGAAAUAGGGUGGGUAGUAUGGAAUAGAUUAAUGUGGCUCAGAACAGGAUGCAGUGGCAGGCUCUUGAAAACACAGUAAUGAACCUUCUGGUUCCAUAAAAGGCGAGAAUUUCUUGACCGUUAUUUUACUCUCAGUUUUUCAACAAAUAAAACAAACUCCAGCCAAAACAUUCCACAAAAAAAAGACUCCUCGUUAACAUAUUUUAUUACUUUUUCAAGCUUCUUCGUACUUGCUAAAUUCGAUUCAUUCUUUGUAAACAAGGCCAUGGUUUAGAAUUUCAGAGUGACGAUUUAGACUCCAAGCACAAUCAAGAAAAAGUGGAAGUGAAUUCACUUAAAGUGAGCUUUCUUUCAACGAGAUGGUUCUGUUCCAUUGCUGCAAAAGCUGGCUGCUGGGGAACAAGAAAGUAGCGGUAGGCUAUAGGACAACUGCCAACCAAACAAAAUACCAGCGCCAUUACUUCAUUCCUUCUCAUCUCCAUCUUUGUCCCUCUUUCUGGAUUUUUUCUUUAUCCUUGGUUUCGAUCAUCUCACUGCGUCACAGCUCCAAAGACUACCUCCCCAAGUGCACUCAUACACACAGUUCUCUGUUUGUAUUUUCCUGCACAACCUUACAAUAUCAUUAACGACCCCAUCUGUCCAGUCUUCUUUGUUACAUAAAACGCAUUUGUAUUUAUGGAUAUGCAAUCGAUAAUAUUUAAAUUCUACUCCGUUGUAAAGCUCUAAGAGUUGCAACAGAACAAUGAUUUUGUAACUUUUCAUGUCCGAUCUUCUCUAAAGACAUUAUACAAAUUAACGGACUUCACAAUAAAUGAAAGUGCUUGUCACGUACCAGUAAAAAGUGUUAUAUAUAUCGACUAUUUUACCAAUAUAAUAACUUUUGAAACCGCGCCAUUCUUUUGUAUAUACCCUAUACAUUGGCUGAUCACAACAGCGUAAAAUAGUCAAACUCUCGUAAAGAUAUAAGCUUAGCCAUACCUCAGUGGUUUAAAAAUUGGAUUAUUGUACGGACGCCCAUCAUAAAACAAUGAGAAUAAGCAUAAGUUCAUACAAAUUUAUACCACCCUUGCCCCAGAUAAAUAUCCAUUUAUGUCUAGAUAAUCGAUAUCCCCGUAGACAUUCGAACCAGUUACCUUCCGAAUACAUGUCGAGAGCAUUACAACUCCCUCAAUAAAAUUACUAAGUCCGAAACGAGAAGCAAAUGCAUACUUCACGCAGAUAACAUCAUGAUGUAACAAACAAACAAACAAACAACGCUGUACUUCUGGUCUUUCUUGGAAACUGCGUAAUUUAUAUUGAAGACAAACGUCCGGCGUCUUACUACCAGGAGCUCAAAUGAUGCAAUAGCUCAUGGAGUACAACUGAUUCAACGAGCAGGUUGGUAUACCGAAAAUUACAAACUUGUAGGAACUAUUUUAUGCUUUUACCGGCUUCCCAAAGCCAAUAACGAAAUAAUACGUUCAGAACAGGCCACGACUACCUGCAUAUAAAUCCUUUAACUCACUAACCACACAAUCUUUUCACUUCAUUCGAAACAGCGGCGUUAAGUAAUAUUAUAGUAAAGUAGUUUGUGAAUUUACAUUCUAGUAAGAGAUAAUAAGUGUGCAUUAGACAAUAAUAACAGUUAUUAACUAAAUGCUGCUACACGAUUGUCAUAGACGACAAAAGUUAAAAUUAAAAAACGAAUUAAUGUUUUUGAAAUGGCUGCUAAAGAAGUAGAAAAAAUAGACGGUGGGUCUAGGCAGCUACAGCUUGUCGCGUCUUCGGUCCCAAACUCGAAACCACCUGUCACCAUAAACAUUCCCAGCCCCCAACAGAAAGAGGGAGAUGGAAAAUCGCUCUAGCGACCAGAGCACGGAUCCCCAUGCCAGCAGCUUGCAUGUCAGGGGGAAUGAAUGAUGCCUGCUAAAUAUCGGCUUGGCUUGGCUUGGCUCGACUCGACUCGGCAUGGACCACGGCAAAGUUACAUCUUUGCAGAGAACAAGUGGCUCAGUCAUACUGCAAAACCCAGUCUAAUUUCUUAUAAUUCUUCUUGUUUCUACCUAACAUCAUAUUGCAUGAUCUUCCUUUAGUGAGAUUCCAGGUUCUCAGGGCGGCGAGCAAGAAGAUGGAAGUUUUCUGGGUUGUUUCAGACGUACUUGCUGCUUCCAUCAUCAAGGCGCCAUCUAACGCCCGCAUACUUCUACCUGACUACAGAAGAUAGCCAUUCCUUCAGUAGUUUUUUCCAGCUGCUGCUUUUAUAAAUUCAGAAGUUUCAAUACCAAACUGUCAAAUAAUUCAUUUGCUUUUCUUUUACGUUUCGACUUUCACACUAAUUUUCGGGAUUUUUUUAAAUUGAAAGGACCAAAUGAAGAUAAAAGGCAAGCGAGGAACUUCGUGAUUUAUGCAAGUAACCUAGUAUUGUUACGACAGUGAAAUACAGAAGGCCACGAUUGGCUGGGCGUGAUGCUACAAUGAGCAGAACAAGGAAUGCAUACAGAAUUUUAAAGGAGAAACACUUUCAAAACUUUCCCGAAGAAGACGGAAGAGGUAAUCGGAGAAGAGCAUUCGAAUAAAUGUUAGAGAGAUAGGAUCUGAAGAAAGGAGGAGAAUGGAAAUGACUCAGGAUCAUGUCUAACUGAGGGCUUUGAAACUAAUGGUGUUGAAUCUUGGGGUCCUGGCAAUUCGACGCUAUAUCAUGUUUGAGCAAGUCACACGUUUUACAGCAAUGCUAAACCUGCUAUGUAACAGAGGUAUGAAAAUAUAAACGCAAGACCCCGUUUCCUGUUUAGCUAUCACAUCUUCCUCUUCAAGGUCCUACUGUUGUGCUGAUACGGACAAUUUUCUUAACCUGAGUGAACAUUUUAUCCCUGCAAGCGAAGAAAGCCACGAGAAAUAUCGCUUCGAAAACUUAUUUUGAACAUCUAGUGGAUACAAACCAAUGAGCAUAAUUUUGUAACCUCUAUAUUUAUUAUCAGUUUUAAUCUUAACCAGCAAGUAUAAAUAAUUAGCUAUUUUUUAAAUAUGAUUUAUAUAACAAACUUUUGUCAGACUUUUUGUGACAGUGUCAGUCGCUUCUGUUCUUAUUCUGAUGGCAGCUCAACACUACGUACUGUUUUUCUCCGUUCCUUCAGGCAAAUGCCAGGAUACUGCCUUACAUUAAGCCACUACCGCAUCCUUUCCAAUUCGUCAAUCAUUAAUCAUCCUAACACUCCAUGUUUCUAGCCUUAGCUACUGGAAAUGACGUUAAAUAUGACACAAAUAAAUAAAACAUGUUUACCACUA
Zootermopsis nevadensis is the source of this 4175-nucleotide long non-coding RNA. RefSeq lists it as uncharacterized. NCBI's taxonomy places the organism in Eukaryota, Metazoa, Arthropoda, Insecta, Blattodea, Termopsidae. The record is from RefSeq and is a predicted model, not a curated record.